UGGUCAUGAUGUUUGUUGCAGGAAUAGA
RNAcentral lists this unclassified non-coding RNA (28 nucleotides) under Mus musculus (house mouse). RNAcentral describes it as "oocyte_clustered_small_RNA8534". Lineage: Eukaryota; Metazoa; Chordata; Mammalia; Rodentia; Muridae. The record is from RNAcentral.